UCGUAGUGACCUGCGGAGGAUCAUUACUGAAUUGUCAAACGGGUUGUUGCUGGCCCUCAUAGGGGGCAUGUGCACGCUCUGUUUACACAUCCACUCACACCUGUGCACCCUCUGUAGUUCUAUGGUCUGGGGGACCCUGUCUUCCUUCUGUGGUUCUACGUCUUUACACACACACUGUAAUAAAGUUUUAUGGAAUGUACAUCGCGUCUAACGCAAUACAAUACAACUUUCAGCAACGGAUCUCUUGGCUCUCGCAUCGAUGAAGAACGCAGCGAAAUGCGAUAAGUAAUGUGAAUUGCAGAAUUCAGUGAAUCAUCGAAUCUUUGAACGCACCUUGCGCCCCUUGGCUAUUCCGAGGGGCAUGCCUGUUUGAGUAUCAUGAACACCUCAACUCUCAUGGUUUGCCAUGAUGAGUUGGACUCUGGGGGUUUUGCUGGCCUGUGGUCGGCUCCUCUCAAAUUAAUCAGCCUCCCAGUGUUUGGUGGCAUCACGGGUGUGAUAAAUAUCUACGCUCGCUGUUGUCUGCCAGGUAACCUUUGGUCACAAAGGUUUGCUGGAGCUCACAGAUGUCUCUCCUCAGCGAGGACAGCUUUUUUAACGUUCGAUCUCAAAUCAGGUAGGACUACCCGCUGAACUUAAGCAUAUCAUA
This 649-nucleotide ribosomal RNA is filed under the name Thelephora terrestris. Its description in RNAcentral is "eukaryotic LSU rRNA". The stretch from base 225 to 379 matches the Rfam family "5.8S ribosomal RNA". The record is from RNAcentral. Lineage: Eukaryota; Fungi; Basidiomycota; Agaricomycetes; Thelephorales; Thelephoraceae.